This 1093-nucleotide long non-coding RNA is filed under the name Macaca mulatta (Rhesus monkey). RNAcentral describes it as "lncRNA (ENSMMUG00000056044.1)". The record is from RNAcentral. Lineage: Eukaryota; Metazoa; Chordata; Mammalia; Primates; Cercopithecidae.
GUGUAAACACCUAGGUGCCCGCUUGGGCUGCGGCCGGGCCACGCCUCGCGCUCGCGCUCGGGCGUAGCGUCACCCGUUGCUGGGCAGAGAAGCCGGUAUUUGCAUCUCCCAAUCGCUGGCCGCCGGAGCGGGGCGGGGCUCGGGCUGCGGGGCUGGGCGGUCUCGCGGCUGGGAUUGGGGGAGACCGGCGAGAUCGGUUUCUUUUCUUAGGUUGGGGGUUGGAGGAAGGAUAGGGGACGCGAGCCUGCCUCCCAUCUGGCGCUGGACGCUUGUCCCUGCCCCGCGUUGCCUUUUAAAUUUUAGCUUAUUCCGAGACACCUGCCGUCAGCAGACAUUUAUGCAGUGCGUGAUUCUUUCUAAAACAACUCCCUGGAAGACAGGACAUUUAAUUCAGCAAUUUAUUGGCCACCUACUAUGCACCAGGCAGUGAACUUGGAACUUGGGCUACUGGGUUGCAGCAGUGACCGAGACAGUGGUCCCUGUUCUUAGGGAGCAAGUGAGGGCAACAGAAAAGAGCAGGUAAACAAAUAAGAUAAUUUCAGAUAGUUGUGACUGCUGUAAAGAAGAUAAAACUGGGCUGGGUGCGGUGGUUCACACCUGUAAUCCCUGCACUUUGGGACGCCAAGACAGGGGAAUCGCUUGAGCCCAGGAGUUUGAGACCAGCCUGGGUAACAUAGCGAAAUCCCACCUCCACAAAAAUAUAAAAAUUAGCCAGGCAUGGAGGCAAGCACCUGUCAUCUCAGCUACUGGUGAGGCUGAGGUGGGAGAAUCGCUUAAGCCUGAGAUUUUGAGGCUGCAGUGAGCUAUGAUGGUGCCGCUGCACCACAGACUGGGUGAUGGAAAGAAGGGAGGAAGGGGCUGGGCAAGGUGGCUCACGUCUGUAAUCCCAGCACUUUGAGAGGCUGAGGUGGGCGGAUCACUUGAGCCUAGAAGUUCAAGACCAGCAUGGGCAACAUGGCAAAAUCCUGUCUCUACGAAAAAUACAAAACUUAGCCAGGUGUGAUGGCCCGUGCCUUUAGUCCCAGCUACUUGGGAGGCUGAGGCAGGAAGAUCGCUUGAGCCUGGGAAGUUGAGGCUCCAGUGAGCUGUGAUC